This 148-nucleotide non-coding RNA is filed under the name Pan troglodytes (chimpanzee). Lineage: Eukaryota; Metazoa; Chordata; Mammalia; Primates; Hominidae. The record is from Rfam by way of RNAcentral.
GCUAGGCAUGUUGUCAUGUGCCUGUAGUCCCAGCUACUUGGGAGGCUGAGACAGGAGGAUUGCUUGAGCCCAGGAGGUGGAGGCUGCAGUGAGCUGUGUUUGUACUACCACACUCCAGCCUGGGCGACAAAGUGAGACCCUGUCUCAA